Long non-coding RNA from Hibiscus syriacus, 225 nucleotides. RefSeq lists it as uncharacterized. Lineage: Eukaryota; Viridiplantae; Streptophyta; Magnoliopsida; Malvales; Malvaceae. The transcript is spliced from 2 exons. The record is from RefSeq and is a predicted model, not a curated record.
ACCUGAAAACAUGAACUUGCAAAUUUAGAGCUACAUGCAAGUUUCACCAUCCUAGAGACAAAGCAUCGAUAGCUGGGAGAGUUUCCUUAAAUAUUUUGGGCUACCCUCUUCGCCCGGACGAGACUGAGUGUGCUUAUUAUCUAAGAACUGGACAAUGCAAGUUUGGGAGCACUUGUAAAUUGCACCAUCCUCAACCAACUAAUAUGAUGGUUUCAUUGAGUGGCU